This 200-nucleotide ribosomal RNA is filed under the name Symbiodinium sp. clade D. RNAcentral's name for it is "partial Bacterial large subunit ribosomal RNA". It matches the Rfam family "Bacterial large subunit ribosomal RNA", at positions 1162 to 1356 of the family's 2925-position model. The record is from RNAcentral. Lineage: Eukaryota; Dinophyceae; Suessiales; Symbiodiniaceae.
CGCCGAAAAUGAACGGGACUCAAGUACGACACCGAAGCCUCGGACUCACAGGCCACAGGCGUCUGUGUUUGGUAGGGGAGCGUCGAACGCGGGCUGAAGCCGUACCGCAAGGAACGGUGGACUGCGUUCGAGUGAUUAUGCCGGAACGAGUAGCGAGAAACGAAGUGAGAAGCUUCGUCGCCGUAAGCCUAAGGUUUCCU